RNAcentral lists this ribosomal RNA (253 nucleotides) under uncultured bacterium. RNAcentral's name for it is "partial 16S ribosomal RNA". It matches the Rfam family "Bacterial small subunit ribosomal RNA", at positions 524 to 776 of the family's 1533-position model. The record is from RNAcentral.
UACAGAGGUCUCAAGCGUUGUUCGGAUUCAUUGGGCGUAAAGGGUGCGUAGGCGGCGCGGUAAGUCGGGUGUGAAAUCUCGGAGCUUAACUCCGAAACUGCAUUUGAUACUGGCGUGCUUGAGGACUGGAGAGGAGACUGGAAUUCACGGUGUAGCAGUGAAAUGCGUAGAUAUCAGGAGGAACACCGGUGGCGAAGGCGGGUCUCUGGGCCGAAACUGACGCUGAGGAGCGAAAGCGUGGGGAGCGAACAGG